Molecule: long non-coding RNA, 627 nt
Filed under: Felis catus (domestic cat)
Lineage: Eukaryota; Metazoa; Chordata; Mammalia; Carnivora; Felidae
Description: lncRNA (ENSFCAG00000041518.2)
Source: RNAcentral
UCACAAGAUGGAAAUGGUGAAUUCGAGGAUUGAGAGCUGAGAACCUUGAGGUCCAAUAACUGUGAACUGGAAGGUAUGCUGUCUGUUGGGGAGAAAUCCCCAUAUGAGUACCUGACUUUGCAUUGGGAAGGGAAAGAAUGCCUUCUUGUCUUCAUGGUUCUUGCCCUUUUCCUGUCACACCAAAGCCAACUCUCAGGUCAUGUGCACACUUAUAAAGAAAAUCCAUUUUUUACAGAAAACAAAAAGGCCUUAGAAGACAAGUGUAAUGCAUUGAGGUCUGUGAAAGCAAUCAAGGAAGCAAAAGUCAAACAGCUGAAGGAGAAAGCACAUAUCCUUGAAGAAUUCUAUAAACAAAGAAGAGUGGCUGCAGAAGAACUGGAUGUUAUGGAAGGAAAGAGGCUGCCUGAGGGACACAUGAGACAGAAACCAAUGCCUGGAAGACCAAAGAUGCAGAACCCUCCAAGGAGAGGUAAGGAGCACAUUGUGACAUGCACUGGCCUAAUUUCUGCUGCAAAGCCUGUUCCUUUCAGUGAUCAUUGUGUGGCCUGGACAGAACCACAAGCACUACCUAAGGAUAGCAGGUGGUCUGAAGGGGUGACAGGAGGGUGUUCUCCUCUGGUGCCCUAG